UACGUAGGGGGCGAGCGUUGUCCGAAGUUACUGGGCGUAAAGAGCUCGUAGGCGGCCUGUUGCGUCCGCUGUGAAAUCCCGGGGCUUAACCCCGGGCUUGCAGUGGAUACGGGCAGGCUGGAGGCAGGCAGGGGGAGAACGGAAUUCCUGGUGUAGCGGUGAAAUGCGCAGAUAUCAGGAGGAACACCGGUGGCGAAGGCGGUUCUCUGGGCAUUACCUGACGUGAGGAGCGAAAGUGUGGGGAGCGAAC
This 250-nucleotide ribosomal RNA is filed under the name uncultured bacterium. RNAcentral describes it as "partial 16S ribosomal RNA". It matches the Rfam family "Bacterial small subunit ribosomal RNA", at positions 524 to 773 of the family's 1533-position model. The record is from RNAcentral.